This 133-nucleotide ribosomal RNA is filed under the name uncultured bacterium. RNAcentral describes it as "partial 16S ribosomal RNA". It matches the Rfam family "Bacterial small subunit ribosomal RNA", at positions 373 to 522 of the family's 1533-position model. The record is from RNAcentral.
GGAGGGAACUCUGACGCAGUGACGCCGCGUAUAGGAAGAAGGUUUUCGGAUUGUAAACUAUUGUCGUUAGGGAAGAAAAAAGACAGUACCUAAGGAGGAAGCCCCGGCUAAUUAUGUGCCAGCAGCCGCGGUA